AUUAAACGCUGGCGGCAUGCCUUACACAUGCAAGUCGAACGGCAGCACGGGGCAACCUGGUGGCGAGUGGCGAACGGGUGAGUAAAGCAUCGGAACGUGCCCUGGAGUGGGGGGAUAACGUAGCGAAAGUUACGCUAAUACCGCAUAUUCUGUGAGCAGGAAAGCAGGGGAUCGCAAGACCUUGCGCUCUGGGAGCGGCCGAUGUCGGAUUAGCUAGUUGGUGGGGUAAAGGCCUACCAAGGCGACGAUCCGUAGCGGGUCUGAGAGGAUGAUCCGCCACACUGGGACUGAGACACGGCCCAGACUCCUACGGGAGGCAGCAGUGGGGAAUUUUGGACAAUGGGCGGAAGCCUGAUCCAGCCAUGCCGCGUGAGUGAAGAAGGCCUCGGGUUGU
RNAcentral lists this ribosomal RNA (394 nucleotides) under uncultured bacterium. Its description in RNAcentral is "bacterial SSU rRNA". It matches the Rfam family "Bacterial small subunit ribosomal RNA", at positions 29 to 426 of the family's 1533-position model. The record is from RNAcentral.